GGUAACUACUACUGGAGGUAAUUACUAACAAGAACACAAUGAUUGGAAGCACUUCUUCCCUCCUUUUAUAGCAAUCAUACUGCUCUUACAAUCUAAUUAGUAUGAUGGUGAUUUCACCUGACUAGUACUUAUUCACACUUUCACAUGUCCUGCUGAUAUGAUUAGUCAAUUGAUGUUAGCUGGUCAUUUUGUGUCAGGAUCACACAGUUUUUUUGUGUGUGAAAUUUUUUUUUUUUUUUUUUGGCCAAUUAAGAACAGGGAUACCAUGGUCCUUAACCCAGGUACUGGUAGCUUUGGCACUGUGUGCAGGUGCCAAGUCCUGUUGGAAAAUGAAAUCUGCAUCUCCAUAAAGUUGGUCAGCAGCAGGAAGCAUGAAGUGCUCUAAAACUUCCUGGUAUACAGCUGCAUUGACCUUGGACCUCAGAAAACACAGUGGACCAACACCAGCAGAUGACAUGGCACCCCAAACCAUCACUGACUGUGGAAACUUUACACUGGACCUCAAGCAACGUGGAUUGUGUGCCUCUCCUCUCUUCCUCCAGACUCUGGGAACCUGAUUUCUAAAGGAAAUGCAAAAUUUACUUUCAUCAGAGAACAUAACUUUGGACCACUCAGCGGCAGUCCAGUCCUUUUUGUCUUUAGCCCAGGUGAGACGCUUCUGACGCUGUCUGUUGUUCAAGAGUGGCUUGAUACAAGGAAUGUGACAGCUGAAACCCAUGUCUUGCACAUGUCUGUGCGUAGUGGUUCUUGAAGCACUGACUCCAGCUGCAGUCCACUCUUUGUGAAUCUCCCCCACAUUUUUGAAUGGGUUUUGUUUCACAAUCGUCUCCAGGGUGCGGUUAUCCCUAUUGCUUGUACACUUUUUUCUACCACAUCUUUUCCUUCCCUUCGCCUCUCUAUUAAUGUGCUUGGACAAAGAGCUCUGUGAACAGCCAGCCUCUUUUGCCAUGACUUUUUGUGUCUUGCCCUCCUUGUGCAAGGUGUCAAUGGUUGUCUUUUGGACAACUGUCAAGUCAGCAGUCUUCCCCAUGAUUGUGUAGCCUACAGAACUAGACUGAGAGACCAUUUAAAGGCCUUUGCAGGUUUUUUGAGUUAAUUGGCUGAUUAGAGUGUGGCACCAGGUGUCUUCAGUAUUGAACCUUUUCACAAUAUUCUAAUUUUCUGAGAUACUGAAUUUGGGAUUUUCCUUAGUUGUCAGUUAUAAUCAUCAAAAUUAAAAGAAAUAAACAGUUGAAAUAUAUCAGUCUGUGUGUAAUGAAUGAAUAUAAUAUACACGUUUCACUUUUUGAAUGGAAUUAGUGAAAUAAAUCAACUUUUUGAUGAUAUUCUAAUUAUAUGACCAGCAC
This is a long non-coding RNA of Cyprinus carpio carpio, 1346 nucleotides long. NCBI's taxonomy places the organism in Eukaryota, Metazoa, Chordata, Actinopteri, Cypriniformes, Cyprinidae. The record is from Ensembl.